UGCACGCAUGAGUGUAAGUCGCUUAGGAUAAAUGCAUCUGCUAAAUGGCUUAUA
Salmo salar (Atlantic salmon) is the source of this 54-nucleotide non-coding RNA. Lineage: Eukaryota; Metazoa; Chordata; Actinopteri; Salmoniformes; Salmonidae. The record is from Rfam.